GGUUGUGGCUCAGUGGUAGAGUGCUUGCCUAGCAUGCAUGAUGCACUGGAUUCCAUCCCCAGCACCA
This 67-nucleotide transfer RNA is filed under the name Marmota monax (woodchuck). It matches the Rfam family "tRNA". From Rfam's summary of the family: Transfer RNA (tRNA) molecules are approximately 80 nucleotides in length. Their secondary structure includes four short double-helical elements and three loops (D, anti-codon, and T loops). Further hydrogen bonds mediate the characteristic L-shaped molecular structure. tRNAs have two regions of fundamental functional importance: the anti-codon, which is responsible for specific mRNA codon recognition, and the 3' end, to which the tRNAs corresponding amino acid is attached (by aminoacyl-tRNA synthetases). tRNAs cope with the degeneracy of the genetic code in two manners: having more than one tRNA (with a specific anti-codon) for a particular amino acid; and 'wobble' base-pairing, i.e. permitting non-standard base-pairing at the 3rd anti-codon position. Lineage: Eukaryota; Metazoa; Chordata; Mammalia; Rodentia; Sciuridae. The record is from Rfam by way of RNAcentral.